AGAGUUUGAUCCUGGCUCAGGACGAACGCUGGCGGCAUGCCUAAUACAUGCAAGUCGAACGCUGAAACACUCUGCUUGCAGAGUGUGGAUGAGUGGCGAACGGGUGAGUAACACGUGGGGAAUCUGCCUAUAAGUGGGGGAUAACAUUCGGAAACGGAUGCUAAUACCGCAUAUAUUCAAAAACCGCAUGGUUUCUGAAAGAAAGACGGCUUUACUGUCGCUUAUAGAUGAUCCCGCGGCGUAUUAGUUAGUUGGUGGGGUAAUGGCCUACCAAGACCAUGAUACGUAGCCGACCUGAGAGGGUGAUCGGCCACACUGGGACUGAGACACGGCCCAGACUCCUACGGGAGGCAGCAGUAGGGAAUCUUCCACAAUGGGUGCAAACCUGAUGGAGCAAUGCCGCGUGAAUGAAGAAGGUCUUCGGAUCGUAAAGUUCUGUUAUUAGAGAAGAACAAGUCAAGGAGUAACUGUCUUGACUUUGACGGUACCUAACCAGAAAGUCACGGCUAACUACGUGCCAGCAGCCGCGGUAAUACGUAGGUGACAAGCGUUGUCCGGAAUUAUUGGGCGUAAAGGGAGCGCAGGCGGUUGGAAUAGUCUGAUGUGAAAGCCCACGGCUUAACCGUGGAAGGUCAUUGGAAACUGUCCACUUGAAUGC
RNAcentral lists this ribosomal RNA (658 nucleotides) under uncultured bacterium. Its description in RNAcentral is "bacterial SSU rRNA". It matches the Rfam family "Bacterial small subunit ribosomal RNA", at positions 8 to 649 of the family's 1533-position model. The record is from RNAcentral.